This 253-nucleotide ribosomal RNA is filed under the name uncultured bacterium. RNAcentral's name for it is "partial 16S ribosomal RNA". It matches the Rfam family "Bacterial small subunit ribosomal RNA", at positions 524 to 776 of the family's 1533-position model. The record is from RNAcentral.
AACGUAGGACGCAAGCGUUAUCCGGAGUUACUGGGCGUAAAGCGCGGGCAGGCGGCUUCGCAAGUUCGAUGUGAAAUCUCUCAGCUCAACUGGGAGCAGCCAUUGGAAACUACGAAGCUGGAGUCUGGCAGAGGUAGGCGGAAUUCCGGGUGGAGUGGUGAAAUGCGUAGAGAUGUGGAGGAACACCAAUGGCGAAGGCAGCCCCCUGGGAUAACACUGACGCUCAGGCACGAAAGCGUGGGGAGCAAACAGG